This 253-nucleotide ribosomal RNA is filed under the name uncultured bacterium. RNAcentral's name for it is "partial 16S ribosomal RNA". It matches the Rfam family "Bacterial small subunit ribosomal RNA", at positions 524 to 776 of the family's 1533-position model. The record is from RNAcentral.
UACGUAGGGUGCGAGCGUUAAUCGGAAUUACUGGGCGUAAAGCGUGCGCAGGCGGUUGAUUAAGUCUGAUGUGAAAGCCCCGGGCUCAACCUGGGAAUGGCAUUGGAAACUGGUCGGCUUGAGUAUGGCAGAGGGGGGUGGAAUUCCGCGUGUAGCAGUGAAAUGCGUAGAGAUGCGGAGGAACACCGAUGGCGAAGGCAGCCCCCUGGGCCAAUACUGACGCUCAGGCACGAAAGCGUGGGGAGCAAACAGG